GGAGGAAUACCCAAGUCCGGCUGAAGGGAUCGGUCUUGAAAACCGACAGGCGGGUUAAACCGUGCGGGGGUUCGAAUCCCUCUUCCUCCGCCA
This 93-nucleotide transfer RNA is filed under the name Bacillus sp. (in: firmicutes). RNAcentral's name for it is "Bacillus sp. (in: Bacteria) tRNA-Ser". It matches the Rfam family "tRNA". From Rfam's summary of the family: Transfer RNA (tRNA) molecules are approximately 80 nucleotides in length. Their secondary structure includes four short double-helical elements and three loops (D, anti-codon, and T loops). Further hydrogen bonds mediate the characteristic L-shaped molecular structure. tRNAs have two regions of fundamental functional importance: the anti-codon, which is responsible for specific mRNA codon recognition, and the 3' end, to which the tRNAs corresponding amino acid is attached (by aminoacyl-tRNA synthetases). tRNAs cope with the degeneracy of the genetic code in two manners: having more than one tRNA (with a specific anti-codon) for a particular amino acid; and 'wobble' base-pairing, i.e. permitting non-standard base-pairing at the 3rd anti-codon position. The record is from RNAcentral. Lineage: Bacteria; Bacillati; Bacillota; Bacilli; Caryophanales; Bacillaceae. RNAcentral also lists the same sequence under 1 other name.